RNAcentral lists this ribosomal RNA (253 nucleotides) under uncultured bacterium. RNAcentral's name for it is "partial 16S ribosomal RNA". It matches the Rfam family "Bacterial small subunit ribosomal RNA", at positions 524 to 776 of the family's 1533-position model. The record is from RNAcentral.
UACGGGGGGGGCAAGCGUUGUUCGGAAUUACUGGGCGUAAAGGGCUCGUAGGCGGCCAACUAAGUCGGACGUGAAAUCCCCAGGCUUAACCUGGGAACUGCGUCGGAUACUGGAUGGCUUGAAUUCGGGAGAGGGAUGCAGAAUUCCAGGUGUAGCGGUGAAAUGCGUAGAUAUCGUAAGGAAGACCAGUGGCGAAGGCGGGUCUCUAGACAGUUCCUGACGCUGAGGCACGAAGGCCAGGGGAGCAAACGGG